This is a long non-coding RNA of Equus asinus (donkey), 2929 nucleotides long. Lineage: Eukaryota; Metazoa; Chordata; Mammalia; Perissodactyla; Equidae. The record is from Ensembl.
CUAGUUUAAGUUGUAAAAAAAGGGGCUAAGGUUCACCAAUGUUCCCAACUGAAAAGUUUUAUUAAAACACAUGUUUUAGACAUUUUCGAAAUGUUUUGAAAAAACAUUAAGUAAACUUAGUCCACUAAUGCGAAGUCACCGAAAAUUUUUUCCUUACCGAUUAGUUUAAAAAACUUUUAUUACAAAAGUCAUCAAUGCAGAUUCUUCUCUGACUUUGUAUUAAGUUCAGCCAAAUUUUGUUAUGUGAGAUCAUCCUUUAGGUUAUUUCAGCUUGUGAACCGCCAUACACUACAGCUUUCUGCCUCCACUAAACACUGCCAUGGAGGUGGGAAUGGAGGCCUUGGAGGGAAAGCAGAAGGCGUGGAUUUGGCUUCUGGUCUGAUUUUGCUUCAAGAUUCAGAGAUGUAUAGGUUUAUCACGCUCUUGCUAAACUGAAUGACUUCAACCCUUGGUGUCCCGUUUCCUUGUUUUUUCAUGUUCCUUGAAGUCUUGCCUUGCUGUCUUCACCCCUGAAGAAGCAGUCACUUCCUCCAUCAAGCGACUGGCUUCAGGAGAGAAACACACACCUUGGGUCGCCCUGAGAGGGACUGAGGCGUUCUCAGACCGUUUCUGUGGCCACGUGUGCUCCACACUUCUUGUUCCUUCUUGGGAGGGAAUUCUUAAGGUUGUCUGCCUUCUCUGGAUGCUGCAGAGCCAGGCCGGUGCGGGCAGCCUCCCUUUUGCUUUCUCCAGGUCCCAUUGAACGCUGAAGUUUGCAUGCUUUCUCUCCAUCCCGCUCACUAGCCAUCUGCGAAGACUCACCAACCUUGGGUGGGGGUCGGGUGCGCACCCACAGCACCGGCCAGGGGGUGGGGGUGUGGGGACUGAGAUGUGCGCAGCACUGGGGUGUCCGUGGGCCGUCUGGGGAGAUCCGCAGGCAAGCUGUCCCCAGCAGCUUGUGGGUGGGCUUCCUGAUGGAGUCCGCAAAGUGGCUGGUAGAAUGGUCCUUUCGAUGCCCUCCGAGAGCCCGGGCUGCCUUCUCCCAGCCCCCUCCGCCCCCCACCGGUCGUGCAGCACACCCGGCGUUCUGGAUGCGGGGAGAGAGAGAAGUGGGCAGGCUCCCCUACAGUUGGGGAAGCCAGACGCUCACGCCCACGCCCUCACCUCCCCCUUGGGGAGAAAUCGCUGUGUGCUGGAAUUUCGCGGGUGUCUGGGAUUCCCACAAAGGUGCUCUUAUCCGCGGAUGAUGUUCAACAUCAGUGUUCGUUGGGUGUGCCCACAACACCAGGCUGCCUUUAUGGAGAAAAAGCGUGGAUUCUUCUGCGCCUUGGUACAACUUGACAGACCUAGCAGUCUGUCUCUGAGGAACUUAAAUGAGACACGGACAAUGUAAAUGAGGUCCCAGGGCAGAGAUUACCAGUGGCGGGUCUCGCUCUGUAUCAAAAAGACAACCCCCACUGCUUUCAUGGUGAAGCAAACUUGAGCAAGCUUGGACUGCCCCCAGAUCCCAGAUUCCAGACAGGCAGUCGCUCCCCGCCCCAUGCUACUGAAAACAGUUUUCCUCAUUGUGCACUGAUCGUUGUAAGCAGAUCCUGGCACGAGGAGGUCAAUGGCCCUAUCAGAAUGCGCUCCUCAGCCAUUCCUGUGCCGACUCAGAAAAUCUCCUCUCUCUAACGGCAGCCCAACCGAUGAAUAAUUGCCCUCUCCAAGAUCCAAGAGCCAAAACCAAAUUUCCCCGCACAUCUUGGUCUCUGGCUGCAAAUGUGGUCUGUCUCAGUCUUUCUCCUUGAGAGGAAAAGCUGAGGAAAAUUCCCAUCUUGUUCCAACUCGUCCGCUCUGAUGACUCCAAGGUCGGAAGCGUUUUCCAUUCUGCAUAGAGUAGAUUGAAUCUGUUCACUGAGUUUUCAAAGCGAGCAGGAUUUUUUUUUGACCCAGACCUCUAUCACUCAUUAUUGAACUUUAGACUACUUGAGCACUUUCAGUGCCACCUGCAAAAUAUUUUUUAAAAUGUGUCACAACACGCAUUCUUGGAAAAUGGAAUUUGCUCUUCUUAAGAGUUACUUGCCUGCAUUAUUUUCAACAGUGACUGAUUUUCUCAACCCCUAGUUAAAUUUAAACCAUUCUGUGUUCAUUUUCUCACCUUCAUACCUUUUUAAAGCCAUUUCUCCCACUACUUGGGGGAGAUCCCCCCCCACAAUCCCAUCUGAUCUUCAAGUGGUCCCCAACUCUUGCAGCCUGGUGUCGAUAACCUGAUACUACAUAGUACCUGUACCCCUCAUCUUGGUUCCUAGCUAGACUCUGCCUGGCAUUUCAUAUAGCUAUUUCAUGAGGGUCUAUCUUAUCUGAAAUUACGUUAUAAAUUCCUUGAGAACAAAAAUGUUCAUUUUCCAUCUUCUUUCAUGUGUGUGUCCCUGCUUACCCCUCCCUGCCUCCCAUUGAUCACCACAUACCCUCAUAUGUGGAAAAUCGUACAUUUCUUUUUAAACUUGAAAUUAGAGAUGGUCCCUAACUUACCAUGAUUCAACUUAAUUUUUCGACGUUAUGAUGGUGGAAAAGUGAUACGCAUUCUGUAGGAACCCCACUUUGAAUUUUGAUGUUUCCGUGGGCUAGCAAUAUGUGGUAUGGUCCUCCCCUGUGAUGCUGGGCAGUGAGGAUAGCUCCCAGUCAGUCAUGCAGUCACGAGGUGAACAACCCAACACACUGACAGCCAUUCUGUACCCAGACAGUCAUUCUGUUUGUGACUUUCAGUUCAGUAGUCAAUCAAUUACACGAGAGAGUCAACCCUUUAUUAUAAGAUAGGCUUUGUGUCAUAUGAUUUUGCCCAACUGCAGGCUAAUGUAAGUGUUCUGAGCACAUUUUAGUCAGACUAGGCUAAGGUAGGAUGUAGGUUAGGGAUAUUAAAUGCAUUUUCAACCUACGAUAUUUUCAACACUUAAUGGGUUUAUCUAGG